AAUCAACGCUGGCGGCGUGCCUAACACAUGCAAGUCGAACGAGAAAGUGGAGCAAUCCAUGAGUAAAGUGGCGACCGGGUGAGUAACACGUGACUAACCUACCUUCAAGUGGGGGAUAACCUCGGGAAACCGGGGCUAAUACCGCAUAAUAUCUUUGGGAUGGAAAUUCUGGAGAUCAAAGGAGCAAUUCGCUGGAAGAGGGGGUCGCGGCUGAUUAGCUAGUUGGCGGGGUAAUGGCCCACCAAGGCUUUGAUCGGUAGCCGGCCUGAGAGGGCGC
This 277-nucleotide ribosomal RNA is filed under the name uncultured bacterium. RNAcentral describes it as "partial 16S ribosomal RNA". It matches the Rfam family "Bacterial small subunit ribosomal RNA", at positions 32 to 303 of the family's 1533-position model. The record is from RNAcentral.